CCGAUGCUCCCCCAGCUUGGGCUUGGCGAGGACAGUUGGGGGCCGGCCGGAUCUCCCCUCCGGCUCUCCCUGCACCCCAAAAGAACGGCCCACCAAGCUGGGUGAAGCCUUUUGGGACCCGCAGUUACUUUUAUUGAUUUUCUUGAGACCUGACAGCCAAAAAAAAGGGGCGCGGUGCGCAGUGGAAAGAGGCCAGGCCCUGCAGAAAAUGCCAGGCAAACAGACCUCCCGAACAAAGGAGCGCACCCAACUUAGACACCCCCAGACUGCUUUGAAAUUCUUCCUGCCCUUGCAACGUCUGUUUCUUUGAAGGUGCACCUUUGGACCAAAGCCGUUGGUUUCUUCCAAAUCCAUCCGGUGAACCUGCCCCCACCUCCCGUAAACAAAGAAAAAGCCAGGGACUGACCCCAAGUUUCUAGGAGCAGCAGUGAGGUUGACAUAUUUCAGACAAAUCGCAGCAGCCAACUUCCUGUCCGGCCCCUUUUCCACGGAGAAACCCUCCCUCCACCCUUCCCGGGUCCAGGUGAAGAGAUUAAAACUCUACACGAGCCCCUACAUGGAAUGCUCAGCUGGGCGACAUUUUUUAAUAUUGCAUUACACUAUGAAUUUCUCUCUGUCCCCAUGGAAACAUACCUCUAGUUCGGUGGAACGUGCCCAGCCCUUCUAUCUUGAACAGAAGAUCACAGUAUUUAAUGCUAAUUUCCUUGGGAUGGUGCUUACAAUACACCAGGUGAGGUUUUCAUAAUAUACUGUUACAAUACAGAUGUUAAACAGAGAAGGGGAAGUGUGCAAAUCCCAAACUGCAAGAGACAGCAGGGUUAUCAUCUUUAUAAAAGUUUCAGCACAAAAUACUAUCCGAACACUGAGGAGGAGCCGCUCAGCAGUUUCCCACUGCCAGGAAGAGAAAUUCACAUGUUGAGGCGGUCCC
RNAcentral lists this long non-coding RNA (928 nucleotides) under Sus scrofa (pig). RNAcentral describes it as "lncRNA (ENSSSCG00040001641.1)". The record is from RNAcentral. Lineage: Eukaryota; Metazoa; Chordata; Mammalia; Artiodactyla; Suidae.